RNAcentral lists this ribosomal RNA (563 nucleotides) under Trichoderma harzianum. Its description in RNAcentral is "eukaryotic LSU rRNA". The stretch from base 181 to 334 matches the Rfam family "5.8S ribosomal RNA". Lineage: Eukaryota; Fungi; Ascomycota; Sordariomycetes; Hypocreales; Hypocreaceae. The record is from RNAcentral.
CCAAUGUGAACGUUACCAAACUGUUGCCUCGGCGGGAUCUCUGCCCCGGGUGCGUCGCAGCCCCGGACCAAGGCGCCCGCCGGAGGACCAACCAAAACUCUUAUUGUAUACCCCCUCGCGGGUUUUUUUAUAAUCUGAGCCUUCUCGGCGCCUCUCGUAGGCGUUUCGAAAAUGAAUCAAAACUUUCAACAACGGAUCUCUUGGUUCUGGCAUCGAUGAAGAACGCAGCGAAAUGCGAUAAGUAAUGUGAAUUGCAGAAUUCAGUGAAUCAUCGAAUCUUUGAACGCACAUUGCGCCCGCCAGUAUUCUGGCGGGCAUGCCUGUCCGAGCGUCAUUUCAACCCUCGAACCCCUCCGGGGGGUCGGCGUUGGGGAUCGGCCCUGCCUUGGCGGUGGCCGUCUCCGAAAUACAGUGGCGGUCUCGCCGCAGCCUCUCCUGCGCAGUAGUUUGCACACUCGCAUCGGGAGCGCGGCGCGUCCACAGCCGUUAAACACCCAACUUCUGAAAUGUUGACCUCGGAUCAGGUAGGAAUACCCGCUGAACUUAAGCAUAUCAAUAAGCGG